GGGCCCCUACGGGGGGCAGCAGUAGGGAAUAUUGCUCAAUGGGGGAAACCCUGAAGCAGCAACGCCGCGUGGAGGAUGAAGGUUUUAGGAUUGUAAACUCCUUUUGUUAGAGAAGAUAAUGACGGUAUCUAACGAAUAAGCACCGGCUAACUCCGUGACAGCAGCCGCGGUAAUACGGAGGGUGCAAGCGUUACUCGGAAUCACUGGGCGUAAAGAGAGCGUAGGCGGGAUAGCAAGUCAGAUGUGAAAUCCUAUGGCUUAACCAUAGAAUUG
RNAcentral lists this ribosomal RNA (273 nucleotides) under uncultured bacterium. RNAcentral's name for it is "partial 16S ribosomal RNA". It matches the Rfam family "Bacterial small subunit ribosomal RNA", at positions 333 to 623 of the family's 1533-position model. The record is from RNAcentral.